Molecule: transfer RNA, 73 nt
Filed under: Parcubacteria group bacterium CG1_02_44_65
Lineage: Bacteria
Also listed under: 1 other name
Description: tRNA-Arg
Rfam family: tRNA
About the family: Transfer RNA (tRNA) molecules are approximately 80 nucleotides in length.
Source: RNAcentral
GCGCCUGUAGCUCAAUGGAUAGAGCGCCACGCUUCGGACGUGGAGGUUGCGGGUUCGAAUCCUGCCGGGCGCG